GGCUGGUUAGCAGUCAGAUGCGUUCCGAUAGAUUUGAAUUGAAAUGCAAACGCAUAGUGCUUAACUCUUGGUUUAUUUUCUAAUGAUUUCAAACUAGACCUGCACACAGUUCUGGAUUUCAGACAUACCCUUGUUAAGCGGAAAAGUCACAGUGUGAGGUGUAUGUGGGCAACAUCCCCUUCAGUGUCAGGAAGCAAGAGAUUGCAGAUCUGUUCAAAGCAUUUAAUCCACUCAGUAUUCAAAUAGUGCAUUCAGAAGAGAAGUGCCUUUGCUUUUAAGCUUCGCCUUUGUGGAUUUUGCCAACCAAAAGAACGCACAGCAGGCUAUCAGUCGGCUGAACGGCAGUGUGUACGAGGGCCAUCGAAUCAUUGUCAGGUCUGCCUAUACGUCCAGAGUGAGUUCCCAUGAAUGCUCCACCUUUGAAACAAAGGUUAAAUAAUUAAGAGUGAAAGAAGAGUCAAACGGUUGCAGUGCCUGUUCUUGCAAAGAAGCUAUAGGAGGUAGGAGACUGUUUGCACGCCACGGUGUUGAGAUGGUUUCCGAUCAGGAAGAUGAGAAUCAAUUUGGCUUGAAGAUGGCCGUGAAGAAAGAGAAACUGGAAGAAAAGAAAAUGCUGCUGGAGAUAAAGAAGUUAGAAAUUGAAAUCCAGAAACUGCAAUUAGAAAUCAGAAAGCUAUGAGCUAAAUUAAAUCAAAAUGAUAGAGCUGAUAGAGCUGCUACUGGAUAGAGCUGCUGAUAGACCUGGGUAGGCAAUUCUUUUCUAGUAAUGGGCAAAAUAUGAAAAGUGCAUUUGUGAAAUUUCUUUAUUGAAAUCUUUAAUUUUCUAAAAUGAGUGUGUUGUUCUCUCUAGUUCAGCAGCUGUAGCAUUGUGGGGAUGAUCUAUACCACGAGGCAAGCAUGAUAACUGGGAUCUCUUCCCUGAAGAAUAUUUUAAAUUUGAGUUCCUUUCCAGUUUUUUUUUUUUUUUUUGCAUAGAGCAAAAAAGUCUGCUGGGCUAGGAGUACAGCGGCUGUUUUUGUUUAUUUAAUUUGAAUUGGUAGCAAACUGUUGUCUUUAACAGUUUGUGUUUGAACUGAAUGCUUCUUUUUUUAUAGAAUACAUGUAUAAAGUUACCAUUGUAAUAUAGUUGACCACUAGGUUAUAAAAAAGGAGAUUUUUCUCAUUCUGCAAGAUCCUGCACCAUAAUACAGAUUUGUUCUAGUUUGAAUGUAUUGCAGUUGAUUCUUAUAGUUUAGCUUUACUUGUAAAAACUCCAAUGACGUAAACUUUUGUGACAAACUAUUUCUUUAAAAAUGAUUUACAAUAUGGUCAAUUUGAUGUGGUCAUAUGGGUAUCACUUUACUUUGACAAGGGCAUGUUUAAAUAAUGUGCUGUAUUUCUAAGUUUUAAUAAAAUACACAGAUCAGUGUUCUAUCUGACACAGUGUGUUUAAUUUAACUUUAUUAGUAUAUUAAGAGUUAAAUAAUGCAGCUUCACCUCUAAGUAAACAGUGCUUUCUUUUUUAUUAUCUUUUCACAGAUCAGUAGUUGUGUGGGUGUUUAUUUUUUUAACUUUUAGGCAUAAUGUUUAUGUUCUGUCUGGUAAUUUUUUCAAGCUGUGUUGUCAUUUUGUU
Acipenser ruthenus (sterlet) is the source of this 1612-nucleotide long non-coding RNA. RefSeq lists it as uncharacterized. The record is from RefSeq and is a predicted model, not a curated record. The transcript has 6 exons. NCBI's taxonomy places the organism in Eukaryota, Metazoa, Chordata, Actinopteri, Acipenseriformes, Acipenseridae.